RNAcentral lists this transfer RNA (56 nucleotides) under Fukomys damarensis (Damara mole-rat). It matches the Rfam family "tRNA", at positions 9 to 63 of the family's 71-position model. Rfam says of the family: Transfer RNA (tRNA) molecules are approximately 80 nucleotides in length. Their secondary structure includes four short double-helical elements and three loops (D, anti-codon, and T loops). Lineage: Eukaryota; Metazoa; Chordata; Mammalia; Rodentia; Bathyergidae. The record is from Rfam by way of RNAcentral.
AGCUCAGUAGUACAGCACAUGCUCGGCAAGCAUGAGGCCCUGGGUUCAAUUCCCAG